This 90-nucleotide transfer RNA is filed under the name Alphaproteobacteria bacterium. RNAcentral describes it as "tRNA-Ser". It matches the Rfam family "tRNA". Rfam says of the family: Transfer RNA (tRNA) molecules are approximately 80 nucleotides in length. Their secondary structure includes four short double-helical elements and three loops (D, anti-codon, and T loops). The record is from RNAcentral. Lineage: Bacteria; Pseudomonadati; Pseudomonadota; Alphaproteobacteria.
GGAUGGGUGGCCGAGCGGUUGAAGGCACCGGUCUUGAAAACCGGCGUGGCAGAGAUGUCACCGUGGGUUCGAAUCCCACCCCAUCCGCCA